UUUUUCUCCAGUGCUUGACUCAUUGGAAGAGGAGUGGCGGCGGGUGAGUACACGUGGGUAACCUACCCAUCAGAGGGGGAUAACACUUGGAAACAGGUGCUAAUACCGCAUAACAGUUUAUGCCGCAUGGCAUAAGAGUGAAAGGCGCUUUCGGGUGUCGCUGAUGGAUGGACCCGCGGUGCAUUAGCUAGUUGGUGAGGUAACGGCUCACCAAGGCCACGAUGCAUAGCCGACCUGAGAGGGUGAUCGGCCACACUGGGACUGAGACACGGCCCAGACUCCUACGGGAGGCAGCAGUAGGGAAUCUUCGGCAAUGGACGAAAGUCUUGACCGAGCAACGCCGCGUGAGUGAAGAAGGUUUUCGGAUCGUAAAACUCUGUUGUUAGAGAAGAACAAGGACGUUAGUAACUGAACGUCCCCUGACGGUAUCUAACCAGAAAGCCACGGCUAACUACGUGCCAGCAGCCGCGGUAAUACGUAGGUGGCAAGCGUUGUCCGGAUUUAUUGGGCGUAAAGCGAGCGCAGGCGGUUUCUUAAGUCUGAUGUGAAAGCCCCCGGCUCAACCGGGGAGGGUCAUUGGAAACUGGGAGACUUGAGUGCAGAAGAGGAGAGUGGAAUUCCAUGUGUAGCGGUGAAAUGCGUAGAUAUAUGGAGGAACACCAGUGGCGAAGGCGGCUCUCUGGUCUGUAACUGACGCUGAGG
Molecule: ribosomal RNA, 702 nt
Filed under: Enterococcus faecalis
Lineage: Bacteria; Bacillati; Bacillota; Bacilli; Lactobacillales; Enterococcaceae
Description: bacterial SSU rRNA
Rfam family: Bacterial small subunit ribosomal RNA
Source: RNAcentral